GCGGCGCUAGUUCAGUGGUCGAAUGCGGGCUUCCCAAGCCUGAGACACGGGUUCGAUUCCCGUGCGCCGCA
This 71-nucleotide transfer RNA is filed under the name uncultured archaeon. RNAcentral describes it as "tRNA-Gly(ccc)". It matches the Rfam family "tRNA". Rfam says of the family: Transfer RNA (tRNA) molecules are approximately 80 nucleotides in length. Their secondary structure includes four short double-helical elements and three loops (D, anti-codon, and T loops). The record is from RNAcentral.